CAAAUUUAAAGUGGAAUCAGGUGUGGCUUCUGUUUGGCUAGAAUGAAAGUACCUUUUGUGGAUAAGUUUGAAGACCUUUGCUCUACAUUGUCUUUUAGUUAGCUAGCUAAUCUUACAGUAAAUGGCUAGUCUGCUAUCACUGGCCCCAGAACUAUACUAAACUCACACACAAAUCAGAGCAAGCGUUUUCUCCACAAGUUGUGUUUUUGUUAAUUGGUUAGCACUGAUUGGAUAGCUUGCUCAAUUGACACCAUGGAUCUGUGAUCAAGGUCGUAAUGCACAAACAGACUGCUGUGAGCUCAGACCAAGAACUCUGCCAAAAGAGUGACCUAGCUAAAACACAACCUCUUUUAAAGAAGCAACUUGAGAACAGAGAUGGGUGGGAGAGAAAACAGAAAAAAGAAAGAAGCAGUAUACAGAAGUCCAUCCUGCAGCCACUCAUCUCCCUGCUUCAACAAUGACCAAUAAAUGAGCUACAAAACUGUGCAGGACUCCUCCUACCAAGAAAUAUGUCUAAGCUUGGCUAGAAGUGUCUCGUUUCAUCCCCUCAUCCCUUUUUGAAAAUAAAUGAACUGUAUAGUAAUUGAUUGGGAUUGUUUGUACCGUUCACAACAAAGAUAAUAUAUUUGUUGUAUAUAUGUUUUAAAGUGAGUGCAUGUAUGCGUGUUCACCAUGAAUGUCUUUAUCUCUGAAACAAAGAAUAACCAUGAACCAUACUGAACAAGCCAAAAUCCCAGUAGUUACACUGACGUUACUGAAAUUCCAGUAGCUGCCGUGAUGUGAAUUGUAAUGUCUAGUGUCUUGUUAUCCUCAGCAUGCCAUAUCCAAAAACCUGCUACUAUAC
Molecule: long non-coding RNA, 844 nt
Organism: Ictalurus punctatus (channel catfish)
Lineage: Eukaryota; Metazoa; Chordata; Actinopteri; Siluriformes; Ictaluridae
Source: Ensembl